UACGUAGGGUGCGAGCGUUGUCCGGAAUUAUUGGGCGUAAAGGGCUCGUAGGUGGUUUGUCGCGUCGGGAGUGAAAACCCAGGGCUUAACUCUGGGCUUGCUUUCGAUACGGGCAGACUAGAGGUAUGCAGGGGAGAACGGAAUUCCUGGUGUAGCGGUGAAAUGCGCAGAUAUCAGGAGGAACACCGGUGGCGAAGGCGGUUCUCUGGGCAUGUCCUGACGCUGAGGAGCGAAAGCGUGGGGAGCGAACAGG
Molecule: ribosomal RNA, 253 nt
Filed under: uncultured bacterium
Lineage: Bacteria
Description: partial 16S ribosomal RNA
Rfam family: Bacterial small subunit ribosomal RNA
Source: RNAcentral